This 253-nucleotide ribosomal RNA is filed under the name uncultured bacterium. Its description in RNAcentral is "partial 16S ribosomal RNA". It matches the Rfam family "Bacterial small subunit ribosomal RNA", at positions 524 to 776 of the family's 1533-position model. The record is from RNAcentral.
UACGAAGGGGACUAGCGUUGUUCGGAAUUACUGGGCGUAAAGCGCACGUAGGCGGAUUUGUAAGUCAGGGGUGAAAUCCCGGGGCUCAAUCUCGGAACUGCCUUUGAUACUGCAAAUCUCGAGUCCGAUAGAGGUGGGUGGAAUUCCUAGUGUAGAGGUGAAAUUCGUAGAUAUUAGGAAGAACACCGGUGGCGAAGGCGGCCCACUGGAUCGGUACUGACGCUGAGGUGCGAAAGCGUGGGGAGCAAACAGG